Molecule: ribosomal RNA, 274 nt
Filed under: uncultured bacterium
Lineage: Bacteria
Description: partial 16S ribosomal RNA
Rfam family: Bacterial small subunit ribosomal RNA
Source: RNAcentral
AUACGGAGGGUGCAAGCGUUAAUCGGAAUUACUGGGCGUAAAGCGUACGUAGGCGGUUAUUUAAGUCAGAUGUGAAAUCCCCGGGCUUAACUUGGGAACUGCAUUUGAAACUGGGUAACUAGAGUUUAGUAGAGGGGAGUGGAAUUUCAGGUGUAGCGGUGAAAUGCGUAGAGAUCUGAAGGAACACCAGUGGCGAAGGCGACUCCCUGGACUAAAACUGACGCUGAGGUACGAAAGCGCGGGUAGCAAACAGGAUUAGAAACCCUAGUAGUCC